RNAcentral lists this ribosomal RNA (852 nucleotides) under Klebsiella pneumoniae. Its description in RNAcentral is "bacterial LSU rRNA". It matches the Rfam family "Bacterial large subunit ribosomal RNA", at positions 1 to 888 of the family's 2925-position model. Lineage: Bacteria; Pseudomonadati; Pseudomonadota; Gammaproteobacteria; Enterobacterales; Enterobacteriaceae. The record is from RNAcentral.
GGGUUGUGAGGUUAAGCGACUAAGCGUACACGGUGGAUGCCCUGGCAGUCAGAGGCGAUGAAGGACGUGCUAAUCUGCGAAAAGCGUCGGUAAGGUGAUAUGAACCGUUAUAGCCGGCGAUGUCCGAAUGGGGAAACCCAGUGUGAUUCGUCACACUAUCGUUAACUGAAUACAUAGGUUAACGAGGCGAACCGGGGGAACUGAAACAUCUAAGUACCCCGAGGAAAAGAAAUCAACCGAGAUUCCCCCAGUAGCGGCGAGCGAACGGGGAGCAGCCCAGAGUCUGAAUCAGCUUGUGUGUUAGUGGAACGGUCUGGAAAGUCCGACGGUACAGGGUGAUAGUCCCGUACACCAAAAUGCACAGGCUGUGAACUCGAAGAGUAGGGCGGGACACGUGGUAUCCUGUCUGAAUAUGGGGGGACCAUCCUCCAAGGCUAAAUACUCCUGACUGACCGAUAGUGAACCAGUACCGUGAGGGAAAGGCGAAAAGAACCCCGGCGAGGGGAGUGAAAAAGAACCUGAAACCGUGUACGUACAAGCAGUGGGAGCACCUUCGGGUGUGACUGCGUACCUUUUGUAUAAUGGGUCAGCGACUUAUAUUCUGUAGCAAGGUUAACCGUAUAGGGGAGCCGCAGGGAAACCGAGUCUUAACUGGGCGUUAAGUUGCAGGGUAUAGACCCGAAACCCGGUGAUCUAGCCAUGGGCAGGUUGAAGGUUGGGUAACACUAACUGGAGGACCGAACCGACUAAUGUUGAAAAAUUAGCGGAUGACUUGUGGCUGGGGGUGAAAGGCCAAUCAAACCGGGAGAUAGCUGGUUCUCCCCGAAAGCUAUUUAGGUAGCGCCUCGUGAA